RNAcentral lists this ribosomal RNA (460 nucleotides) under uncultured bacterium. Its description in RNAcentral is "partial 16S ribosomal RNA". It matches the Rfam family "Bacterial small subunit ribosomal RNA", at positions 338 to 795 of the family's 1533-position model. The record is from RNAcentral.
CCUACGGGUGGCAGCAGUGAGGAAUAUUGGUCAAUGGACGAAAGUCUGAAGCAGCCAUGUAGCGUGAAGGAUGACUGCCCUCUGGGUUGUAAACUUCUUCUAUAAAGGAAUAAAACGAGGCACGUGUGCCUUUUUGCAUGUACUUUAUGAAUAAGGAUCGGCUAACUCCGUGCCAGCAGCCGCGGUACUACGGAGGAUCCGAGCGUUAUGCGGAUUUAUUGGGUGUAAAGGGAGCGUAGAUGGGUGGUUAAGUCAGUUGUGAAAGUCUGCGGCUCAACCCUAAAAUUGCAAUUGAUACUGGCAGUCUUGAGUACAGUUGAGGGAGGUGGAAUUCGUGGUGUAGCGGUGAAAUGCUUAGAUAUCACGAAGAACCCCGAUUGCGAAGGCAGCUUACUAAACUGUGACUGACAUUGAUGCUCGAAAGUGUGGGUAGCAAACAGGAUUAGAUACCCCUGUAGUC